RNAcentral lists this ribosomal RNA (841 nucleotides) under uncultured bacterium. RNAcentral's name for it is "bacterial SSU rRNA". It matches the Rfam family "Bacterial small subunit ribosomal RNA", at positions 8 to 796 of the family's 1533-position model. The record is from RNAcentral.
AGAGUUUGAUCAUGGCUCAGAGUGAACGCUGGCGGCGUGGUUUAGGCAUGCAAGUCGAGCGAUCCUUGCUGACUUCUUAUUGAAGUGCUUGCACGGAUGUAAGAAGUUGGCGCUGGAUAGCGGCAAACGGGUGAGUAACACGUGAGCAACUUUCCCCUAAAACAGGGAUAGCUUCGUGAAAACGGAGGUAAUACCUGAUGUGUCCUUGGAGUCGCAUGGCUCUAAGGAUAAAGGCAGGGACCGCAAGGCCUGCCGAUUAGGGAUGGGCUCGCGACCUAUCAGCUUGUUGGUGGGGUAAUGGCCUACCAAGGCUUUUGACGGGUAGCUGGUCUGAGAGGAUGGUCAGCCACACUGGGACUGAGACACUGCCCAGACUCCUACGGGAGGCUGCAGUCGAGAAUAUUUAGCAAUGGGGGAAACCCUGACUAUGCGACGCCGCGUGCAGGAUGAAGGUUUUCGGAUUGUAAACUGCUUUUAUUAGGGGAGAACUCCCACAGGUUAAUAGCCUGUGGGCUGACGGUAUCUAAUGAAUAAGCCACGGCCAACUCCGUGCCAGCAGCCGCGGUAAUACGGAGGUGGCAAGCGUUACUCGGAAUCAUUGGGUGUAAAGGGCAAGUAGGCGGUCUAUUAAGUGAGGGGUGAAAUCUUCCGACUCAAUCGGGAAAUUGCCUUUCAAACUGGUAGACUUGAGGGAGAUAGAGGGAAAUGGAAUUCCAGGUGUAAGGGUGAAAUCUGUAGAUAUCUGGAAGAAUACCAACGGCGAAGGCAAUUUCCUGGAUCUCUCCUGACGCUGAAUUGCGAAAGCUAGGGGAGCAAACAGAAUUAGAUACCCUAGUAGUCC